GGCGGGGAGCCCGGACCUGACCCUUCGGGAGGGAAUGCUGGCUCGGUGCUGAGUGACUUUGGGGACAGCGAAGAAGCCCCAACAUGGAGGACUUUUCUACCCGGACCUACGGCACCAGCGGUCUGGACAACCGACCGCUGUUCGGAGAGACGUCGGCCAGGGAUCGAAUCAUCAAUUUAGUUGUUGGCAUCUUAACAUCCUUAUUGAUUCUAGUAACGCUGAUCAGUGCUUUUGUUUUCCCUCAACCACCUCCAAAACCAUUGAAUAUAUUUUUUGCUGUCUGCAUCUCUUUGAGUAGUAUUACUGCCUGCAUACUUGUGCCACUCAGGGGCAGCACUGAGACUGCUGAUCUGCCUCCAAUUUUAACUAAAUCCUGCACCACGCCGGCCUCUCCCUGCCCUGAGCACCUCACUGCCCGAAGCCCUGUGGGGCUGUGGAGUGGAGAAGCUUUUGGUGCUGCCUGUGGGUAAAGGUGGGUGGACAGACAGUGUCUUUGGUUGGUUGAUUGUUGUAAUCAAUAAACAAGAAAUAGAAGGAGGAAAUUUCGGGUUCUUCUAUAUCACUCAGUUCCUAUUACCAAAAUUGUUUUCCAUCUUUUUCAGGCCAAGCAAAGAGGACCAGCAACUGGUGGAAUGUAAAAGUCAAUAAAAAGUGGCACAUCCACAACCCCCAUUCUCUUGUAGCAGCUUUCUAGCAAUCCUUAUGAGCAUAGCUGCACUACAAACACCACGUGACAGUAAGCCUCUAAGCUACUUAUCAGACCAAAGUAAGUAGAUCUUUGAAAAUGCUUGAUUUCCUAGUACCAUAAGCAGUAACUGUACUGUAUUGUUUUUUAAAUGCCACCACUAUCCAUUUGCUCAAAAAUUAACAGGACAAUACCUACUACAUUUCAGAAAAAUGAUCGAUUAUUGAAAAAUGGUGGUUUCAUGAGCUCAUUCAGUCAUUUAGUGCCAAAUUUAAUUUAAUGAGGAAAGUUCAAGUUUAAUUCAAUUAGAAAUAAGCCAGUCAGAAAAGAUUAAGAAUCGUAAGAUUUCACUCACAGGUAGGAUAUAAAAGUGAACCUCAUAGACAUAGACAACAGUAUGAUGGUUACCAGAGGGAAAGGGUUGGGGGUUGAGUAAAGGGAGAAAAGGGCCAAAUAUAUGGUGAUGAAGAACAAUCUGACUGUGGGUGGUGGGCACACA
Molecule: RNA transcript, 1184 nt
Organism: Myotis brandtii (Brandt's bat)
Lineage: Eukaryota; Metazoa; Chordata; Mammalia; Chiroptera; Vespertilionidae
Gene: TMEM243
Gene name: transmembrane protein 243, mitochondrial
Exons: 5
Source: RefSeq, a predicted model, not a curated record